AAUUUAAAGGCGAAUACUGCCCCUGAUUGAUAAAAAUUAAAGGGCUGCAGUAUAUUGACUGUACAAAGGUAGCAUAAUCAUUAGUCUUUUAAUUGAAGACUUGUAUGAAAGAUUUGAUGAAAUAUAUACUGUCUCUAAAUUAUUAAUAAAAAUUAAUUUUUUAGUUAAAAAGCUAAAAUUUACUUAAAAGACGAGAAGACCCUAUAGAGUUUUAUAAUAAUAAUAAUUAAAAUUAAAUAUUUAAUUAUAAAUUAAAAUUGUUAUUAUUAUUUUAUUGGGGUGAUAAAAAAAUUAAAAGAACUUUUUUUUAAAAAAAUUCAUAAAUAAAUGAAUUAUUGAUCCAUUUAUAAUGAUUAGAAGAAAAAAUUACCUUAGGGAUAACAGCGUAAUUUUUUUUUUUAGUACAAAUAAAAAAAAAAGGUUGCGACCUCGAUGUUGGAUUAAAAUAAAAAUUAAAUGUAAAAGUUUAAAAUUUUGAUCUGUUCGAUCAUUAAAAUCUUACAUG
RNAcentral lists this ribosomal RNA (505 nucleotides) under Argynnis laodice (eastern silverstripe). Its description in RNAcentral is "partial 16S ribosomal RNA". The record is from RNAcentral. Lineage: Eukaryota; Metazoa; Arthropoda; Insecta; Lepidoptera; Nymphalidae.